UGGGUCUCAUUAACAUAAGAUCACUGUCCUUAAAAUCAAUAUUGAUUAAUGAUCAAAUUAUGGAUCAUCACUUAGAUAUGAUUGGGUUAUGUGAAACCUGGCUUAAACCGACAGCUGUUCUCCCCUUAAAGGAGGCAUGCCCACCGGCGUACACAUUUAGUCACGGUGUAUAUUUAAAUAUUUAUACAAGAUAG
This is a long non-coding RNA of Thalassophryne amazonica, 194 nucleotides long. RefSeq lists it as uncharacterized. Lineage: Eukaryota; Metazoa; Chordata; Actinopteri; Batrachoidiformes; Batrachoididae. The record is from RefSeq and is a predicted model, not a curated record. The transcript is spliced from 4 exons.